This 66-nucleotide transfer RNA is filed under the name Schistocephalus solidus. It matches the Rfam family "tRNA". From Rfam's summary of the family: Transfer RNA (tRNA) molecules are approximately 80 nucleotides in length. Their secondary structure includes four short double-helical elements and three loops (D, anti-codon, and T loops). Further hydrogen bonds mediate the characteristic L-shaped molecular structure. tRNAs have two regions of fundamental functional importance: the anti-codon, which is responsible for specific mRNA codon recognition, and the 3' end, to which the tRNAs corresponding amino acid is attached (by aminoacyl-tRNA synthetases). tRNAs cope with the degeneracy of the genetic code in two manners: having more than one tRNA (with a specific anti-codon) for a particular amino acid; and 'wobble' base-pairing, i.e. permitting non-standard base-pairing at the 3rd anti-codon position. The record is from Rfam by way of RNAcentral. Lineage: Eukaryota; Metazoa; Platyhelminthes; Cestoda; Diphyllobothriidea; Diphyllobothriidae.
AGCCUCGUGGCUCACUUGGCUAGAGCGUUGCCCUUCUUGACGUUGGUUCGAAUCCCACCGAGGCCA